Molecule: non-coding RNA, 45 nt
Filed under: Schistosoma mansoni
Lineage: Eukaryota; Metazoa; Platyhelminthes; Trematoda; Strigeidida; Schistosomatidae
Source: RNAcentral
AUUCGACUGAAGAUUCCAAAAUAGGACGAAACGCGUGUCCUCGAU